UACGUAGGGUGCAAGCGUUAAUCGGAAUUACUGGGCGUAAAGCGUGCGCAGGCGGCCUUAAAAGUCAGAUGUGAAAUCCCCGAGCUCAACUUGGGAACUGCGUUUGAAACUCUAAGGCUAGAAUAUGUCAGAGGGGGGUAGAAUUCCACGUGUAGCAGUGAAAUGCGUAGAGAUGUGGAGGAAUACCAAUGGCGAAGGCAGCCCCCUGGGAUAAUAUUGACGCUCAUGCACGAAAGCGUGGGGAGCAAAC
RNAcentral lists this ribosomal RNA (250 nucleotides) under uncultured Methylophilus sp. RNAcentral's name for it is "partial 16S ribosomal RNA". It matches the Rfam family "Bacterial small subunit ribosomal RNA", at positions 524 to 773 of the family's 1533-position model. The record is from RNAcentral. Lineage: Bacteria; Pseudomonadati; Pseudomonadota; Betaproteobacteria; Nitrosomonadales; Methylophilaceae.